UCGGAUGUGGUGUACGGCACACAGCCAGCUUGCUUUAUCAGCGGCAGACUCGGUUCUAUAGACGCUGGCAGUCCGGGGUUCGACUCCCCGCGUCCGAA
Mycena olivaceomarginata is the source of this 98-nucleotide non-coding RNA. The record is from the annotation of a GenBank genome assembly. NCBI's taxonomy places the organism in Eukaryota, Fungi, Basidiomycota, Agaricomycetes, Agaricales, Mycenaceae.